AUCUAAAUAGUUUAUGGUAAAAUUUUGGUUUGUGGGACUAAAGAGAUAGUUUUUAUUUUAGAUA
This 64-nucleotide transfer RNA is filed under the name Scolytinae sp. BMNH 1274713. RNAcentral describes it as "tRNA-His". The record is from RNAcentral. Lineage: Eukaryota; Metazoa; Arthropoda; Insecta; Coleoptera; Curculionidae.